AGGUGCGUUUCAAAAUUCACCAAAACUAAGGAAGCAUCAAAGUUUAGAGAGCGUUUAUCGAUUAUUUGUCAACAUGGUCUUGUCAAAAUUCACCAUAUCCCAUGUUUAUAGUACAAUUUUAUAUCUUGAACUAAAUGUUGUGUAAAUGAGAUCAAUAUCUUGAACUAAAUGUUGUGUAAAUGAGAUAAAUAAAGUUUCUUCUCUAAGUUUUAUUUUUUGCUUUACAAGUCUUUUAAGCAUUUCC
RNAcentral lists this long non-coding RNA (244 nucleotides) under Medicago truncatula (barrel medic). Its description in RNAcentral is "long non-coding RNA (MTRU_LNC005108)". The record is from RNAcentral. Lineage: Eukaryota; Viridiplantae; Streptophyta; Magnoliopsida; Fabales; Fabaceae.